GAUGAACGCUGGCGGCGUGCCUAAUACAUGCAAGUCGAGCGAACAGAUAAGGAGCUUGCUCCUUUGACGUUAGCGGCGGACGGGUGAGUAACACGUGGGUAACCUACCUAUAAGACUGGAAUAACUCCGGGAAACCGGGGCUAAUGCCGGAUAACAUUUAGAACCGCAUGGUUCUAAAGUGAAAGAUGGUUUUACUAUCACUUAUAGAUGGACCCGCGCCGUAUUAGCUAGUUGGUAAGGUAACGGCUUACCAAGGCAACGAUACGUAGCCGACCUGAGAGGGUGAUCGGCCACACUGGGACUGAGACACGGUCCAGACUCCUACGGGAGGCAGCAGUAGGGAAUCUUCCGCAAUGGGCGAAAGCCUGACGGAGCAACGCCGCGUGAGUGAUGAAGGUCUUCGGAUCGUAAAACUCUGUUGUUAGGGAAGAACAAAUGUGUAAGUAACUGUGCACGUCUUGACGGUACCUAAUCAGAAAGCCACGGCUAACUACGUG
RNAcentral lists this ribosomal RNA (497 nucleotides) under uncultured bacterium. RNAcentral's name for it is "partial 16S ribosomal RNA". It matches the Rfam family "Bacterial small subunit ribosomal RNA", at positions 28 to 507 of the family's 1533-position model. The record is from RNAcentral.